GGGCCCGCACAAGCGGUGGAGUAUGUGGUUUAAUUCGAUGCAACGCGAAGAACCUUACCAGGGUUUGACAUCCUGCGAAUCUCUUGGAAACAGGAGAGUGCCUUCGGGAACGCAGUGACAGGUGGUGCAUGGCUGUCGUCAGCUCGUGUCGUGAGAUGUUGGGUUAAGUCCCGCAACGAGCGCAACCCACGUCUUUAGUUGCCAGCAUUUAGUUGGGCACUCUAGAGAGACUGCCGGUGACAAACCGGAGGAAGUGGGGACGACGUCAAGUCAUCAUGGCCCUUACGAGUAGGGCUACACACGUGCUACAAUGGGACGUACAGAGGGUCGCGAACCCCGCGAGGGGAGCUAAUCUCAUAAAACGUCUCGU
Molecule: ribosomal RNA, 370 nt
Filed under: uncultured bacterium
Lineage: Bacteria
Description: bacterial SSU rRNA
Rfam family: Bacterial small subunit ribosomal RNA
Source: RNAcentral